AACGCAACUUGCGCCCUUUGGUAUUCCGAAGGGCAUGCCUGUUUGAGUGUCAUGAAAACCUCAAUCCCUCGGGUUUCUUAGUGAACCCGUUGGACUUGGAUCUGGGCGUCUGCCGCGACCCUCCGGGGAUGUCGGCUCGCCUCAAAUGUGUUAGUGGGACGGUGACUGCCCGUCAGCCUGGCGUAAUAAGUUUCGCUGGGCCUCUGGGGCUUGGUCAGUCGGCCUGCUUAUAACAACCAACUUUCUUAUGACUCUGACCUCAAAUCAGGUAGGGCUACCCGCUGAACUUAA
This 291-nucleotide unclassified non-coding RNA is filed under the name uncultured Tremellales. Its description in RNAcentral is "sequence contains 5.8S rRNA gene, ITS2, 28S rRNA gene". The stretch from base 1 to 52 matches the Rfam family "5.8S ribosomal RNA", at positions 103 to 154 of the family's 154-position model. Lineage: Eukaryota; Fungi; Basidiomycota; Tremellomycetes; Tremellales. The record is from RNAcentral.